UACAGAGGGGGCAAGCGUUGUUCGGAAUUACUGGGCGUAAAGGGCGCGUAGGCGGCCUGCUAAGUCGAACGUGAAAUCCCCGAGCUCAACUCGGGAACUGCGUCCGAUACUGGCAGGCUUGAAUCCGGGAGAGGGAUGCGGAAUUCCAGGUGUAGCAGUGAAAUGCGUAGAUAUCUGGAGGAACACCGGUGGCGAAGGCGGCAUCCUGGACCAACACUGACGCUGAGGAGCGAAAGCCAGGGGAGCAAACGGG
This 253-nucleotide ribosomal RNA is filed under the name uncultured bacterium. RNAcentral's name for it is "partial 16S ribosomal RNA". It matches the Rfam family "Bacterial small subunit ribosomal RNA", at positions 524 to 776 of the family's 1533-position model. The record is from RNAcentral.